This 512-nucleotide ribosomal RNA is filed under the name uncultured Fusarium. Its description in RNAcentral is "SSU rRNA". It matches the Rfam family "Eukaryotic small subunit ribosomal RNA", at positions 20 to 536 of the family's 1831-position model. The record is from RNAcentral. Lineage: Eukaryota; Fungi; Ascomycota; Sordariomycetes; Hypocreales; Nectriaceae.
GUAGUCAUAUGCUUGUCUCAAAGAUUAAGCCAUGCAUGUCUAAGUAUAAGCAAUUAUACCGCGAAACUGCGAAUGGCUCAUUAUAUAAGUUAUCGUUUAUUUGAUAGUACCUUACUACUUGGAUAACCGUGGUAAUUCUAGAGCUAAUACAUGCUAAAAAUCCCGACUUCGGAAGGGAUGUAUUUAUUAGAUUAAAAACCAAUGCCCUUCGGGGCUCACUGGUGAUUCAUGGUAACUCCUCGAAUCGCAUGGCCUUGUGCCGGCGAUGGUUCAUUCAAAUUUCUUCCCUAUCAACUUUCGAUGUUUGGGUAUUGGCCAAACAUGGUUGCAACGGGUAACGGAGGGUUAGGGCUCGACCCCGGAGAAGGAGCCUGAGAAACGGCUACUACAUCCAAGGAAGGCAGCAGGCGCGCAAAUUACCCAAUCCCGACACGGGGAGGUAGUGACAAUAAAUACUGAUACAGGGCUCUUUUGGGUCUUGUAAUUGGAAUGAGUACAAUUUAAAUCCCUUA